Long non-coding RNA from Coregonus clupeaformis (lake whitefish), 2866 nucleotides. RefSeq lists it as uncharacterized. The record is from RefSeq and is a predicted model, not a curated record. NCBI's taxonomy places the organism in Eukaryota, Metazoa, Chordata, Actinopteri, Salmoniformes, Salmonidae. The transcript is spliced from 13 exons.
GCAUCAAAGUGCAGGGUUCAGGCGGCAGGUCAAGGAAUGCUAUGCUAUGGCGCCACCAAGUGGGGAUUAUUUUGUUCUGCAGCCUUUUCCAUCCUCUCCCGCCAUCUGCUCGUGCGUGCAUGUAUAAGCACGUGACAUAUUUGGAGCGGAAAAGGAGUUUACCAGAAUUCUUUCGAUUGAUAAUUUGUGGAGUGCACAGGAGUCGUCAAUUAAAAAAUGUCGAACAGAUCGUCUCAAGCCUGAAUUGUAAAAUAUGCGUAUAGCUUACACUCUACCAGCUGCUAAUGUGGCUAUCAUAAAGAACUUAAAAUGCCAUGAUCAUCUGGACUAGACUGCGAAUCGAGGCAAAGGACAAUCGUUGUCAAUGACCUGUGUUCCCACAUCUUCUGCACACUACCUGUCUGCGCUCGCUGGAGUUCAACAAUGUAAUUCUGGAACCUGAAUGCAAGGUUGAGUCCACUCUUCCAUAAGGAGGGGUGGAGGGAAUGCAGGUGGACAGCAUGAUCAUCUGCCUCAUCUACACUGCCAAAAUGAACAAAAUGAAAAGGAAGGGGGCGCUGGUGGCGGAGUGGAGGCGAGGAUGAGGGCCCUGGACACGGCCAUGCAGAAGGCCAAGCAGGUCGGACAGCACCCCUCCCUGAAGAGCUACUGCGACCUGGAACAGGUACGCACACGCUCUAAACUGCACCUCCUGGUUGUCGUGGCACUUCAAGGAAGACGAUGUGUGUUUAUGUUGAACAGUUGCUGACUGUAUGUCCAGUCGUUUGACCUGAAGGGCUGAGCUGUAUAGUUCAGCAAGAUGAGCUGGUUAGGAGUCUGAAGGUGUGUCUGAAGAUCAACAUUGGGAAUGCCAAGAUACAGAGGAGCCGGUCCACAUAGGAGAGCGAGAGGCCCCAACAGCAGGCAGUGCCCAACAGGAAUGAUGAGACCUCCCCCAUCCAGCACCAGGGAGCCUGUUCCCCUCUCCAGGAGCAGGUAAGCUUGAGGAUGACUACGCCUACCCGGGGCCCCUCUCUGGCCCUCGCCCCUUCCCCAGAUCCAGCCCCAUCUCAGACUCCAGACCCAACGUCAUCAUGGAGGAGAUUGAACAAGGAGGAGGAGACAAAGGGAAUUUAAAAUCCAGCCAUCAACUCACCACAGCCUCAUCCAAAAAAGUUAUCCCAGCACACCUGUCUGAGCUGCAGCAGGCCACUGAGAGCCCAAAGGAACAGUAAGAAGAUCCAGGAGGACCUCCCACCUGUCAGUCAGGGCAAAGACCUGCGAGCAGUCGCUCCACCUGGACAGCCACAACGUGAAUUAAUCUCCUAAUACCCGACAGGAGCCAUGGCCAUCAUGACCAUCAAGAGAACACAGAGCAGCGUCUGGUGCCGGUCUCCAACCGGGCUGGGAAAGACGUCGGCAUCGCAGACUUCCUGGUUAGUGAGGACUUCGCCCUGAAAGAGAGGAGGCCACGGUGAGUAACAGAACUCUGUGUGGAUGUAUGUUUGUGUUUACAGUUGAGUAGAAGAUGUUUCCUAGGACCCAUGUCUAUCUACUGGCUCUACUUAUCUGCCCUCUCUCUGUCCCCGUGUCCUGUGCCAUGCUUAAACUAGAGGAAUUCUCCAACUCUGACUCCAAGGGCCAUCAAAACGGGACACCUGACCCAGAAAACCAGACCCCCUUCCUCUGACCGGUUAGUCUCUACCCCUCCCAAGCCGGUUACAGCUCAUGAAGUACGCUUCAUCACAUUCUCACCUCCGUCUCCAGGCUUCUCACCUACAUCUUCGUUGUCGUUCAGGGGACGCGCUGCUGCUCUAACUGGCAAACUGCCUUUCCACUCUGAUGCUGUAAGUAGCAAGUUGGUUGUCUCUUCUCUCCACUCGCGUGCUGCAUUCUGUUGUUAUGUGAACGACUGGCUGAGCCAGGCUCGAGCCUUGGAUACAGACAGUAUUGCUCCACGCGCGCAUCACUUGUUCGCUUACAGACCGUAAUGUUAGACAAGCCCCCCCCCCAAAAAAAAAAAUAACUGUUGCUCAUCUGAUCUACACAAGUCACGUAGGUUACCUAUUUUGGAAUUUAAAAGAGCGAAUUCCGCCGAAAGGUUACUAGUUUGCAUUCCUGGGACUCUCUGGAUGGGAUGAUGCUCAGCAGGAUCAUGGUUCACCACCAACAUGGCUCUGUAGACCAGGUUGUUGCAGGAGUGAGGGUUGGGUAUGUUGUUUUAACAUUACCCUGGUUUUAGUCCUUCCUCUUUUUCUUCUAAUAGUCAUUGAACCAACACUAUUGUCUAAAUCCAUCUGUGAUUCUUCUAAGGAGCUGGUGUCAUCUCACCUAGAUCUAGAGGACUGGGAGAUUGACAAAGAGGGGUUGGAUGACCCAAAGCCAGUACUGAGGGUGUUCUCCUACCCUGACCUGCCUGAGAAAGGAGAACUCUUCCGGGUCCAGAUCAAACACCUCCGAACCCCUAACGAGAGGGCAGUAGUGGGGAGAGUCUGGAGGAAGCUCUGAAGAGUCCUUGACAGGAUGGACCGUUUGGCCAUGUUCUCGGACUUCACCAUUGAGUACAGUGAUGGGAAGUACUACCAGGCCAAGCUGUUGGGCUUCGCUGGUCUGAACCUUGUCAAGGUCCUGGUCAGACACGUGGUCUUUGGGUCUGACGACACCCUGCCCACACAGACCUCACUGUGGGCCCGAUCAUAACUGAAGAUUGGAGCAUAAGUCAAUCCCAUCGAUAUGCAAAAGUUUGAGUUACGGGAAGGAAUAAGGUGGCUUUUUCCCCUUCCAAUUAAUCUUUAGUCCGUUUUCACAAACUCAACCAUUACGAAACAAAUACGCAAAAGUAAAACCCGGCCCAUCAGUUCCCUUGUAAGGCCAUCAAGGUGCGAGU